RNAcentral lists this ribosomal RNA (1721 nucleotides) under Escherichia coli 2886-75. RNAcentral's name for it is "bacterial LSU rRNA". It matches the Rfam family "Bacterial large subunit ribosomal RNA", at positions 1225 to 2925 of the family's 2925-position model. The record is from RNAcentral. Lineage: Bacteria; Pseudomonadati; Pseudomonadota; Gammaproteobacteria; Enterobacterales; Enterobacteriaceae.
UGGGUAGGGGAGCGUUCUGUAAGCCUGUGAAGGUGUACUGUGAGGUAUGCUGGAGGUAUCAGAAGUGCGAAUGCUGACAUAAGUAACGAUAAAGCGGGUGAAAAGCCCGCUCGCCGGAAGACCAAGGGUUCCUGUCCAACGUUAAUCGGGGCAGGGUGAGUCGACCCCUAAGGCGAGGCCGAAAGGCGUAGUCGAUGGGAAACAGGUUAAUAUUCCUGUACUUGGUGUUACUGCGAAGGGGGGACGGAGAAGGCUAUGUUGGCCGGGCGACGGUUGUCCCGGUUUAAGCGUGUAGGCUGGUUUUCCAGGCAAAUCCGGAAAAUCAAGGCUGAGGCGUGAUGACGAGGCACUACGGUGCUGAAGCAACAAAUGCCCUGCUUCCAGGAAAAGCCUCUAAGCAUCAGGUAACAUCAAAUCGUACCCCAAACCGACACAGGUGGUCAGGUAGAGAAUACCAAGGCGCUUGAGAGAACUCGGGUGAAGGAACUAGGCAAAAUGGUGCCGUAACUUCGGGAGAAGGCACGCUGAUAUGUAGGUGAAGUCCCUCGCGGAUGGAGCUGAAAUCAGUCGAAGAUACCAGCUGGCUGCAACUGUUUAUUAAAAACACAGCACUGUGCAAACACGAAAGUGGACGUAUACGGUGUGACGCCUGCCCGGUGCCGGAAGGUUAAUUGAUGGGGUCAGCGCAAGCGAAGCUCUUGAUCGAAGCCCCGGUAAACGGCGGCCGUAACUAUAACGGUCCUAAGGUAGCGAAAUUCCUUGUCGGGUAAGUUCCGACCUGCACGAAUGGCGUAAUGAUGGCCAGGCUGUCUCCACCCGAGACUCAGUGAAAUUGAACUCGCUGUGAAGAUGCAGUGUACCCGCGGCAAGACGGAAAGACCCCGUGAACCUUUACUAUAGCUUGACACUGAACAUUGAGCCUUGAUGUGUAGGAUAGGUGGGAGGCUUUGAAGUGUGGACGCCAGUCUGCAUGGAGCCGACCUUGAAAUACCACCCUUUAAUGUUUGAUGUUCUAACGUGGACCCGUGAUCCGGGUUGCGGACAGUGUCUGGUGGGUAGUUUGACUGGGGCGGUCUCCUCCUAAAGAGUAACGGAGGAGCACGAAGGUUGGCUAAUCCUGGUCGGACAUCAGGAGGUUAGUGCAAUGGCAUAAGCCAGCUUGACUGCGAGCGUGACGGCGCGAGCAGGUGCGAAAGCAGGUCAUAGUGAUCCGGUGGUUCUGAAUGGAAGGGCCAUCGCUCAACGGAUAAAAGGUACUCCGGGGAUAACAGGCUGAUACCGCCCAAGAGUUCAUAUCGACGGCGGUGUUUGGCACCUCGAUGUCGGCUCAUCACAUCCUGGGGCUGAAGUAGGUCCCAAGGGUAUGGCUGUUCGCCAUUUAAAGUGGUACGCGAGCUGGGUUUAGAACGUCGUGAGACAGUUCGGUCCCUAUCUGCCGUGGGCGCUGGAGAACUGAGGGGGGCUGCUCCUAGUACGAGAGGACCGGAGUGGACGCAUCACUGGUGUUCGGGUUGUCAUGCCAAUGGCACUGCCCGGUAGCUAAAUGCGGAAGAGAUAAGUGCUGAAAGCAUCUAAGCACGAAACUUGCCCCGAGAUGAGUUCUCCCUGACCCUUUAAGGGUCCUGAAGGAACGUUGAAGACGACGACGUUGAUAGGCCGGGUGUGUAAGCGCAGCGAUGCGUUGAGCUAACCGGUACUAAUGAACCGUGAGGCUUAACCUU